GAUGAACGCUGGCGGCGUGCUUAACACAUGCAAGUCGAACGAAGCAAAUCUGAUUGCUUGCAAGAAGAUCUGACUGAGUGGCGGACGGGUGAGUAACGCGUGGAUAACCUGCCUUAUACUGGGGGACAACAGUUAGAAAUGACUGCUAAUACCGCAUAAGCGCACAGUGCCGCAUGGCACGGUGUGAAAAACUCCGGUGGUAUAAGAUGGAUCCGCGUCUGAUUAGCUAGUUGGUGAGGUAAUGGCUCACCAAGGCGACGAUCAGUAGCCGGCCUGAGAGGGUGAACGGCCACAUUGGGACGGAGACACGGCCCAGACUCCUACGGGAGGCAGCAGUGGGGAAUAUUGCACAAUGGGCGAAAGCCUGAUGCAGCGACGCCGCGUGAGCGAAGAAGUAUUUCGGUAUGUAAAGCUCUAUCAGCAAGGAAGAUAAUGACGGUACUUGACUAAGAAGCCCCGGCUAACUACGUGCCAGCCGCCGCCGUAA
Molecule: ribosomal RNA, 487 nt
Filed under: uncultured bacterium
Lineage: Bacteria
Description: partial 16S ribosomal RNA
Rfam family: Bacterial small subunit ribosomal RNA
Source: RNAcentral